This 253-nucleotide ribosomal RNA is filed under the name uncultured bacterium. RNAcentral describes it as "partial 16S ribosomal RNA". It matches the Rfam family "Bacterial small subunit ribosomal RNA", at positions 524 to 776 of the family's 1533-position model. The record is from RNAcentral.
UACGUAGGCAGCAAGCGUUGUUCGGAAUUACUGGGCGUAAAGCGUGCGUAGGCGGUGGCUCAAGUUUGGUGUGAAAUCUCCCGGCUCAACUGGGAGGGUGCGCCGAAAACUGAGUUGCUCGAGUGUGGGAGAGGUAGGCGGAAUUCCUGGUGUAGCGGUGAAAUGCGUAGAUAUCAGGAGGAACACCGGCGGUGUAGACGGCUUACUGGACCAUAACUGACGCUGAGGCACGAAAGUGUGGGGAGCAAACAGG